This 821-nucleotide ribosomal RNA is filed under the name uncultured bacterium. RNAcentral describes it as "bacterial SSU rRNA". It matches the Rfam family "Bacterial small subunit ribosomal RNA", at positions 8 to 878 of the family's 1533-position model. The record is from RNAcentral.
AGAGUUUGAUCCUGGCUCAGAACGAACGCUGGCGGCAGGCUUAACACAUGCAAGUCGAGCGCCCAGCAAUGGGAGCGGCGGACGGGUGAGUAACACGUGGGAACAUGCCCUUCGGUACGGAACAACUCAGGGAAACUUGAGCUAAUACCGCAUACGCCCUAACGGGGAAGGAUUUAUCGCCGAAGGAUUGGCCCGCGCCUGAUUAGCUUGUUGGUGAGGUAACGGCUCACCAAGGCUUCGAUCAGUAGCUGGUUUGAGAGAGCGACCAGCCACACUGGGACUGAGACACGGCCCAGACUCCUACGGGAGGCAGCAGUGGGGAAUCUUGGACAAUGGGGGAAACCCUGAUCCAGCCAUGCCGCGUGAGUGAUGAAGGCCCUAGGGUUGUAAAACUCUUUCGGCGGGGACGAUAAUGACGGUACCCGCAGAAGAAGCUCCGGCUAACUUCGUGCCAGCAGCCGCGGUAAUACGAAGGGGGCUAGCGUUGUUCGGAAUUACUGGGCGUAAAGCGUGCGCAGGCGGCUCAUCCAGUCAGAGGUGAAAGCCCAGGGCUCAACCCUGGAAUUGCCUUUGAAACUAGUGGGCUCGAGUGCGGGAGAGGUGAGUGGAAUUCCCAGUAUAGAGGUGAAAUUCGUAGAUAUUGGGAAGAACACCGGUGGCGAAGGCGGCUCACUGGCCCGUUUCUGACGCUCAUGCACGACAGCGUGGGGAUCAAACAGGAUUAGAUACCCUGGUAGUCCACGCCGUAAACGAUGGACGCUAGCCGUUGGCCAGCUUGCUGGUCAGUGGCGCAGCUAACGCAUUAAGCGUCCCGCCUGGGA